Molecule: ribosomal RNA, 460 nt
Filed under: uncultured bacterium
Lineage: Bacteria
Description: partial 16S ribosomal RNA
Rfam family: Bacterial small subunit ribosomal RNA
Source: RNAcentral
CCUACGGGCGGCAGCAGUGAGGAAUAUUGGUCAAUGGACGAGAGUCUGAACCAGCCAAGUAGCGUGAAGGAUGACUGCCCUAUGGGUUGUAAACUUCUUUUAUAUGGGAAUAAAACGUUCCACGUGUGGGAUUUUGUAUGUACCAUAUGAAUAAGGAUCGGCUAACUCCGUGCCAGCAGCCGCGGUAAUACGGAGGAUCCGAGCGUUAUCCGGAUUUAUUGGGUUUAAAGGGAGCGUAGGUGGAUUGUUAAGUCAGUUGUGAAAGUUUGCGGCUCAACCGUAAAAUUGCAGUUGAAACUGGCAGUCUUGAGUACAGUAGAGGUGGGCGGAAUUCGUGGUGUAGCGGUGAAAUGCUUAGAUAUCACUAAGAACUCCGAUUGCGAAGGCAGUUCACUGGACUGCAACUGACACUGAGGCUCGAAAGUGUGGGUAUCAAACAGGAUUAGAUACCCUAGUAGUC